AUUGAACGCUGGCGGCAUGCUUUACACAUGCAAGUCGAACGGCAGCGCGGGCUUCGGCCUGGCGGCGAGUGGCGAACGGGUGAGUAAUGCAUCGGAACGUGCCCAGUAGUGGGGGAUAGCCCGGCGAAAGCCGGAUUAAUACCGCAUACGACCUGAGGGUGAAAGCGGGGGACCGAAAGGCCUCGCGCUAUUGGAGCGGCCGAUGUCGGAUUAGCUAGUUGGUGGGGUAAAGGCUUACCAAGGCGACGAUCCGUAGCUGGUCUGAGAGGACGACCAGCCACACUGGGACUGAGACACGGCCCAGACUCCUACGGGAGGCAGCAGUGGGGAAUUUUGGACAAUGGGGGCAACCCUGAUCCAACCAUGCCGCGUGCGGGAAGAAGGCCUUCGGGUUGUAAACCGCUUUUGUUCGGGAAGAAAUCCUCUGGGCUAAUACCCCGGGGGGAUGACGGUACCGGAAGAAUAAGCACCGGCUAACUACGUG
RNAcentral lists this ribosomal RNA (484 nucleotides) under uncultured bacterium. Its description in RNAcentral is "partial 16S ribosomal RNA". It matches the Rfam family "Bacterial small subunit ribosomal RNA", at positions 29 to 507 of the family's 1533-position model. The record is from RNAcentral.